Non-coding RNA from Punica granatum (pomegranate), 1742 nucleotides. The record is from RefSeq and is a predicted model, not a curated record. Lineage: Eukaryota; Viridiplantae; Streptophyta; Magnoliopsida; Myrtales; Lythraceae.
UCCUCCAGCUGCCUCCUUUCCUAAAAAUGCUGACUCCCUCGAAAAAAACCCUAGCCGCCACAACUCCCUCCUCUGGUUUUUCCCACAGCUCCUCUCCUCUCUUCUUCCUCGGGAUUCCAGGAUCCAAAAAAAAAAAACAACAACGCCCACAGCUCCCUCAACUCACGGCCAUCCCCAGCCCGACAACCGGCACCAUCGUCUCCCCUUCACCACCUCCCUUACUACUUUUAUUUGCCGCUGUGCUUCGUUACAUUGCCGCCCAAACUGCCCAUUCGCCAUCGAGUUGAUGAUCACCUCCAAAGCUAAGUCUCCUCCAUCUCUACGUCAGUCUCCAUAUCUCUUAACUAAUUUUUCUGCUCUAACACAUUUUUUCUUUUUUUCUUUUUUUGCUGGCCUUUGUCCUUUCUCGCGCUAUCCUUUCUCCUCGCGGACAUCAAAGUUGGCCAAGCAAGACGAGAGGAAGAAGUCCUGCGGCCGCGACUACAAACGGAUGCAUUAAAAUCAGAGCCGGUGAGCACCGAAUUGCACUUGUGCUCAAUUAAAUCUCUAGCCUAGGUUGCUUUGCUUCUUCGAUCUGAUUCGUUGACUAGGAUGAUGAUUAGAUAAGCCUAUUCGUUUAUUUGUGUUGCGGAUUGGUUUAUGGAAAUAUUAAUUUGAAGGCUUUGCAGCAAAAAUAAAAAAAAUUGACACCUUUCUCUUAUUGGAGUUGUCAUCCUGUGUGCCUUUGUUUCCUCGUGUUUCAAUCAUGAACCAAAUUCUCUAUUUGGGUGAACUGAUAUGAUAGUGAUGGCAACCUGAUAAAUUUUUUUUUUCAAUUCGAUUGGACGUGAUGUAUACCUUUGUUGUUAUUCGAUUUGCACAUGUCUUCGUUCCGCAAUCUAAACGUGGGGCUAAUCUCGAACUCAUUGAGCAUGCAACACGUUGAGCGUAUGAUGACUACGAAGUGAACUUGUUCUCAGUUUCUUGGAGUCAGGAUGUUUUGCUUCUUCAUUCUAGACUAAGAGGAUUAAAUUAAUCAUGCCUCUCUUAUUAUUUUUGGUAAAUUGAUUUAUUUUAUAAAAAAAUUUGUUAUUGCAUCGGACAUAACAUAAUUUCAAUCCAUAUAUAUAUAUAUAUACACAUUUUGCAGAAAAAGAAAAAUGAUAAUUUCUGCGUGUGUCAAGCAUCAUUGCCUCUUGCAUUUAAUUCGCACAUGUUAUGAAUAUAUAAUAGAUCAUAUUGGAUAACUUGUUUGGGUUUUGGGAUUGUUUCGAAUUUCAUGUUUCAUCAUCGCCUAUUGUUUUCUCUGAUGUUUGCUUGUCUCAUGUUGGCUCGAGUCCUUCGGAGUUGUAUUUCCUCUUUUUCUCUUCCUCGUUCUCUUCUUGUUUUCUUGCAUGUCUCACGAGAGGAGAAGAAAGGUGGCGAGACAAGAAGAUAUAAGGCUAAUAUCGGUGGGGCUCGAAGAUGACGGGGAGAUUUACCUAGGCUUAGGUUGAGUCUGGAUUUGAAGGCCACCUAGGUCCGUGGUUGUCGUGGGAUCUUCCGAGCUAAUCGAUCCCAGGAAUCUCCUAGCAUAAGGAGCUCCAUGCCAUCCUCCAACCCGGCUUCGACGAACAGUCCAUCGAGUCGGCCUGCAUGCUACUUGUCUUUUCUGUUUCAAGAGCGAUGUACCUUGUAAUUUGUACUAAGCCGUGGGCAUUUACUUUCUUCGCACACAUGCAUCAUCUGUUUUACAAAAUUAGGGUGUCAUUCAUAUGGACGAA